RNAcentral lists this ribosomal RNA (460 nucleotides) under uncultured bacterium. RNAcentral's name for it is "partial 16S ribosomal RNA". It matches the Rfam family "Bacterial small subunit ribosomal RNA", at positions 338 to 795 of the family's 1533-position model. The record is from RNAcentral.
CCUACGGGUGACAGCAGUGAGGAAUAUUGGUCAAUGGACGAGAGUCUGAACCAGCCAAGUAGCGUGAAGGAUGACUGCCCUAUGGGUUGUAAACUUCUUUUAUAUGGGAAUAAAAUGUUCCACGUGUGGGAUUUUGUAUGUACCAUAUGAAUAAGGAUCGGCUAACUCCGUGCCAGCAGCCGCGGUAAUACGGAGGAUCCGAGCGUUAUCCGGAUUUAUUGGGUUUAAAGGGAGCGUAGGUGGAUUGUUAAGUCAGUUGUGAAAGUUUGCGGCUCAACCGUAAAAUUGCAGUUGAAACUGGCAGUCUUGAGUACAGUAGAGGUGGGCGGAAUGCGUGGUGUAGCGGUGAAAUGCUUAGAUAUCACGAAGAACUCCGAUUGCGAAGGCAGUUCACUGGACUGCAACUGACGCUGAGGCUCGAAAGUGUGGGUAUCAAACAGGAUUAGAUACCCCUGUAGUC